Molecule: ribosomal RNA, 926 nt
Filed under: uncultured bacterium
Lineage: Bacteria
Description: bacterial SSU rRNA
Rfam family: Bacterial small subunit ribosomal RNA
Source: RNAcentral
GUCGAACGGCAGCACGGANAGCUUGCUCUCUGGUGGCGAGUGGCGAACGGGUGAGUAAUAUAUCGGAACGUGUCCAAUAAUGGGGGAUAACGAGUCGAAAGAUUCGCUAAUACCGCAUACGCCCUACGGGGGAAAGCAGGGGAUCGUAAGACCUUGCGUUAAUGGAGCGGCCGAUAUCUGAUUAGCUUGUUGGUGAGGUAAAGGCUCACCAAGGCGACGAUCAGUAGCUGGUUUGAGAGAACGACCAGCCACACUGGAACUGAGACACGGUCCAGACUCCUACGGGAGGCAGCAGUGGGGAAUUUUGGACAAUGGGGCAACCCUGAUCCAGCCAUUCCGCGUGAGUGAAGAAGGCCUUCGGGUUGUAAAGCUCUUUCGCGAGGGAAGAAAACUUAUGAUCGAAUAAAUCAUGAGGUUGACGGUACCUUGAUAAGAAGCACCGGCUAACUACGUGCCAGCAGCCGCGGUAAUACGUAGGGUGCGAGCGUUAAUCGGAAUUACUGGGCGUAAAGCGUGCGCAGGCGGUUUUGUAAGUCGGAUGUGAAAUCCCCGGGCUCAACCUGGGAACUGCGUUCGAAACUGCAAGGCUAGAGUGUGUCAGAGGGGGGUAGAAUUCCACGUGUAGCAGUGAAAUGCGUAGAGAUGUGGAGGAAUACCAAUGGCGAAGGCAGCCCCCUGGGAUAACACUGACGCUCAUGCACGAAAGCGUGGGGGGCAAACAGGAUUAGAUACCCUGGUAGUCCACGCCCUAAACGAUGUCAACUAGUUGUUGGUAGAGUAAAAUCUAUGAGUAACGUAGCUAACGCGUGAAGUUGACCGCCUGGGGAGUACGGUCGCAAGAUUAAAACUCAAAGGAAUUGACGGGGGCCCGCACAAGCGGUGGAUUAUGUGGNUUAAUUCGAUGCAACGCGAAAAACCUUACCUGG